Molecule: long non-coding RNA, 1400 nt
Organism: Raphanus sativus (radish)
Lineage: Eukaryota; Viridiplantae; Streptophyta; Magnoliopsida; Brassicales; Brassicaceae
Exons: 6
Source: RefSeq, a predicted model, not a curated record
UUCUUAUGCAACGCCGUUUUGGAAAUUAGAGUUCAUAACUUCUUUCUUCUCCGCCAUUAGAGAGAUCGAGAUGGGGUUUCGAUUUUGACGUUUGAUCUUCGUUUUCAUCAACAGAAACGCUCCCAUUACAGAUUCAUCCAGUUAAUCCUCUUAUUAAAUCCAUCAACCAUGAUAUAGCCUUCAAUGCAAGUUUCUUUUGUGCGGAUGUAUCUGAGAGUAUAUAAAGAAGUCUGCCAGGUGAUCCGACACUGUUGAGAUCAGACGCUGCGUUUCUGGGAGGCCAGGAAUGUCAGGGGCGGUGGAGAACUCAUUUGGUUGAUAUGCUCAUGGUGAAUGUAAAUGCAAACAUUAUGCAGGCCACCAUUAAAUAUAACCGAUGACCUGCUCUCAGCAUUCAACAUGCAUAUUCUGUUUCGGUUAUUAGAGAUGUUUUCAUAUUCACUUUUUUUUUGGGUUUUCACUCCUUUUGUUUAUGUAUUGCAGUCAACCUUCAUAAAAGUCACUGUGUACAAGCAUCUUAUCAAGGCGGGUUCAAUUUAUUCCAUAAGUGGUUUUGAUGUGACACAGAGCAAUCUGAACUUAAAGUUGUCCGACUCUCCUCUAUCGAUUUGAUUCCGCUGUCGAAUUGCGUCUCCACCGUCGAAAUAAAAUGGACAGAUUGCACGAAAGAUAUGUUUCUUCAAAGACCAAAUGUCAUAAGUUGGAGUUUCUCCCAAAGAGUCCAUAGAAAAAUAAGUUUAUAUGGAUUUGGAUGAUGUUGAGGUCAAGCGUGGGGAGCCAGAAGCUGAACUUUACGUAAUCAAGGCUAUUAACAAAAAGCUGCAACGCUCUUACAAUUAACUUGUGGAGUUUAGGUCUCCUAGCAACUGUUCUUAUACAGGUGAAUCUGCAUUGGUUUAGGUCUCAGUCUUUAUUUCAGCUCUCACAAUGAGCGUAGAGAGAGUACUAAUCAUAUUCACAACACUGCAAUAGCUAUCAACAGUAGCAUCCUUAGUGUCUUACAUGGUAACUCUUGCAAAGGUUUAUUGUUACGUUCAAGACCAAUGUUACCGCUGAGAGAGCAGAGGCUUUGCUCUAUUGUCAUUGUUAUAUCUAUAUUGAAGAUUCUGAAAAUAAGGAUGUUAUAAAAGCUAUGAUGGAGAGCUGUUCAAGAGUACUUCAAGGUUUAGCUUUAAACACUGUUGCGUGAAAUGAUGCUGUUAUCUUUGUAGACAAAAGUAUGAGACGUACUGAAUGACUUCUUAUAGGUUUUACACGUAGUGAAGGACUUCUUAUAGGUUUUACAGUUUACUUCUAUGUUUGUCCUUUUCCUUCUGUUCUCUUAUAUCUCAUGUAAAUUUAAGUCAGAUAAAAAUCAAUGUAAAAUCUAGAAAUAAUUUAUUUUCUUUCUUUUUCCUCAA